Long non-coding RNA from Dromaius novaehollandiae (emu), 1806 nucleotides. RefSeq lists it as uncharacterized. NCBI's taxonomy places the organism in Eukaryota, Metazoa, Chordata, Aves, Casuariiformes, Dromaiidae. The transcript has 2 exons. The record is from RefSeq and is a predicted model, not a curated record.
ACCGGAGCGUCCACCAGCACCUGCAAGGCGUGAGCGCUCCCCUCCAGCGGGGAGGACAGCAGCGGCCGCCACGGCAGGCGCCUCCACCGCGUCCACCCUCCCUCGCUGGAGGCGGCUGGUCCUUUUGAGCAGCUCCUUGUUCCUAAAUAACCCUCCCGCAGACGCUGAGAACGCGUGUAGAGAAUUGGGCACUACCCCCUCGCUAUCAGGCAAAGAGGAAACACUUCACGCCGUCUUAAGAGUCCCAAAGCCUGCUGUGGCGGCGGGGUGCGGAGGGAGAGGACCAGGGCUCUGCAGGGGUCUCCUGGGGCUGCUGCUGAGCUCGGCAGUACUCCGCGGGCUCCGGUGAAGCAGCAAGCAGGCCUGCACUCGACAGGCACACGCGUGAACCAGCUCUUCUGAAUUCCUGGAUGCGCAGGAACGUGGGGGUCAGCUUGUGCCUCUGGCCCUGGCAUUUUCAUGUGACACAGCAUGAUCCAGGAUAGACGCUGAUUUUGAUAUUCUUUUUUUAUUUUCUUUCUUUUUUUUUAAUCUGCAUUUUUGGAUGGAGUGAGAGAGGAACUGCUUUUCAUAUACCAGUAGUUCGUUUUACCUGGAAAACUGUCAAGCAUAAAAUAUGCCGGGUGGCUUUCUCUUCCUUUGUUUCUCACCCACAUGCACGUGCACACGCACAUGCACACACACGUUAAUUACAAGCAGAAAGCACAAAUGACACUACAUACUUCACCGCAUCUGCUCAGGCCUUAAUUAAUCCAACCUUCACACCAUCACCAUGGCAACAAUGCUUAACAGACUCUGCUGACUUGGAAUAUUCAAUAGAUAAUCUUACACUACAUAUUUUAUUCAAAUUAUAGCCAUAGAAUCGCUUCUGCGCUAGCAUUGUAAUGUCAGCACUGAUGGGAACAGAAUGAGCCCUUGCUCUGCUUGACCCCUCCUUAUGCAUUACCUCAUUAUAAUGUAUAAUGAUGUUCCAGCUAAGUCACAUUAAAGCAGACACACUCUUUUUCAAUAAAAUGGGCCUAUAAAAAAGCCCAUUACCACAUUUUGUGUACAUUUAAAAGAAAUGCUUGGGCUUCAGAAAAUGAAUAGGAAUAUUUUUCAGUGCUGUUCCUGCAACUCUUAUCAUAAAGGCAACUCCUAUACGAAAAUAUCAAUGGCAAAAAGGACUUUCCUUGUCAUAUUUUCUGUCUGUCUAGUCCUGGUGCCCUUCUUAUCAGCUUUGUCUCCAGGCAUGUGUUUGGGCAAGAUGCAAUCCCCGUUUUUUAAGUGUUAAUAGAGGCUGGGGCAACAUUGACCGUUAGGGCUAAUGGGAGAGCUACGUAUUUCGGUGGUUGGUUUGGCAAGGGAAGCCCCAUCACCAGCUUUCAGCUGUGUCCCCUCUCGCUCCGCUGCUUUCCAGCACCAAAACCUUGUCCCGGACCCUGGCGCGUGGCAACCCGUCACGACCCGGCCUCCCCGGGGAGGAUGGCUGACUGGGGCAGGCAGCCUCCACACCAGGGACGACGGGAUGGAGGGCACCCUGGCGCGGAGAGCCACUGCGCACUCACGUCUCAUAAACCAUUGUGUCUUUCCUCAGGGUAUUAAAUUACAACUUUAAACACUGACAGCAUAUACACAAAGUUGGAAAGAAUGAUUUUGCUAUUGUACUCAGAAAACUAUGCUGCUCUGAAGGUAUGCACGAAUUAAAUGUUAAUCUGAGUCCAGGGAUAAUCUAAUUAUUGCUUCCUUUUGAAGUAAGGGAAACAGUAUUUACUGAAUAAAUUAUGGCUCUUUAAAGGUAAAACUUUCUUUGAAGAUUAAGCAACA